This 326-nucleotide long non-coding RNA is filed under the name Nicotiana benthamiana. RNAcentral describes it as "long non-coding RNA (NBEN_LNC005811)". Lineage: Eukaryota; Viridiplantae; Streptophyta; Magnoliopsida; Solanales; Solanaceae. The record is from RNAcentral.
UCGAGCUUUCUGUUGUAAUAUUGAUUCUUCCAGCAAAGACCAUUUUUCCAGUUGGAGCAUCAGUUCUUUUUCUCUUAGUUGUAGCGAAUCAGAAUAUGCACUAGACAGCUGGUGUUGUAAGGCUUCCAGUUCUUUACGACUGACCUCAAUUUUCUGUGAGAUUGUCUUAAAUUCUCUGGUAUUUAGAGAUUUCAAGACUGGUUUAAGAGACUUGAGGUUGUUCCACACUCCUCGAAGGGUAGGCUGAGCAUUGGCAUUCCAGGAAGCUUUGACUAAUUGCAGGAAAUCCUGAUGUUGCAUCCAUGCAUUAAAGAAUCUAAAAGGUG